GACGAACGCUGGCGGCGUGCUUAACACAUGCAAGUCGAGCGAUGAAAGCCUUAUGAACUAUUCGUAGUGAUUGGGGCCGGAUUAGCGGCGGACGGGUGAGUAACGCGUGAGCAACCUGCCUUAAACAACGGGAUAGCCUCGGGAAACCGGGAUUAAUACCGUAUGAGACCCCGCCUUCACAUGAAGCAGAGGUUAAAGAUUUAUCGGUUUAAGAUGGGCUAGCGUCUGAUUAGCUAGUUGGUGAGAUAAAAGCCCACCAAGGCAACGAUCAGUAACCGGCUUGAGAGAGUGAACGGUCACAUUGGAACUGAGACACGGUCCAAACUCCUACGGGAGGCAGCAGUGGGGAAUAUUGCACAAUGGGGGAAACCCUGAUGCAGCGACGCCGCGUGAGCGAUGAAGGAAUUCGUUUCGUAAAGCUCUGUCCAAGGGGAAGAUAAUGACAGUACCCUUGGAGGAAGCCCCGGCUAAAUACGUGCCAGCCGCCGCUGUAA
This 494-nucleotide ribosomal RNA is filed under the name uncultured bacterium. RNAcentral describes it as "partial 16S ribosomal RNA". It matches the Rfam family "Bacterial small subunit ribosomal RNA", at positions 28 to 523 of the family's 1533-position model. The record is from RNAcentral.